AACUGAUGGGGGGGCAGAUUUUAAAACUGAUAUAUCAUACUUAAAUAUAAAAGCAUUUUUACAUGAAUUUUUUAAUAUUCCCAUUUAAAAUUUUAAAUAACAUUUGAUUCUUUUAUGUUUAGCUUUUUUUUUUAUAAUGCUUCAGCCCUUCCAAAGUUGAAUUAUCAGUGCUAGAAAUGACACCAUAAUUCUGUCCCUUAUUUCCUUCACCACCCUCCUUUGGAGACCAAAUUAUUGUAGUAGCAGAAGUUGCUAUUUAAGUUAAAAUCAAGUCCUCACCAAUGGAAUAACUAGAUUUCAAUUUUAUAAAAAUGCUUUCCUUUUGUUUACCCUAGAGUAGAAGCAUACACCUUUAAGGAAUUAAAGUGGUAAAGUCUAGGCUACUAUUUUUCCUGUCACCACAUUGCUGGUGUUUAUUGUUUUUUAAUAAAAAAUCAAGUUUCUGUACUUAAUGACUUGGAAGAUGCAUUACAUUUUGUCAAAAUGUAAGAAUUUAUGAAGAAUAAAGAGCUUCUGUAAUCCCCAAAAGAUCAAGAAGGGGAUGUGUAUAAUUUUGCUGCUAAACACAUAUAUAAGAAUUAAUAUUUAUAAUUGAGUUUAGUAUUUUGUAUUUACACUUCUGUCAACAUAUAUUAUAGUGUAGUGUUUAGAGACUAUUAAACAGCUCAGAAUUUACUCACAGAAGAAGAAAAUUUCUUUUAGUUUUUUUCCUCUUUUACUUGAAUUUUCCCCAGGUUGUUUGAUAAAGAGCAGACAAAUGUCUUGCUGAUGAGGGUAUUUACCUUGUACAAAGCCCUGUAUGGUGUGUGUGGAAGUAAUGCAAAGAGCUGACAAGUUGCUGAAUGGUCACUGCCACCUACUAAUGUAAUGCACAAACAAUUAAUGCUAAGGUAACAGAGGUAACUGUGACAGAGAAAAUCAAAGCCAUUUGCAGAUGUGGCCCUUGAUACUUAAUUAUUAGAAUGUUCAUAAAAUAUAUCAGGCUGGCUGGCUUAAAUAAUAAUGUGCCCUGACAUUUAAAAUUCAUAGAAAUGUUAGAUAAAUGCAUUUUUGUCUGACUGGAGGAUUCAUUUUUUAUUAAAAUACCUACAAAAACAAAAUAUAACAAUUCUAGAAACUAAUUUUUUAAAGAAAUACUUGAUUAGUAGAAAAUGUUUCUCUAACCAAGUAAGUCAUCUCCUGCUCUUUUAAAUAGCUUUAUUUAGAAUACUUCUAAGAGCACUUUUUUCCUAUAUUAAAUAAAUGUCAUAUUAUGCACUUUAUUGUAACCUUUUUAAGGGGAUAUUUCAUCAAGACACAAGACAGUGUUGUUGCUGUUGGGUGCCAUUAACUCUGUUUAAUUCACAAGUGAGUUGUGAUUUUAAACAUCUCUUAUGGUGUUUUUAAAGGUGAUCUUGCAUAACAUGUAGUGAGUAAUAUCUUUUGAGUGGAAUAUACCUGUUGGCUUUUCCUUAUUUGAUAUAUAUUGUGACUUGGAGAGAAAAUUAUACAUAGAGUGAAUCAAAGAUUCCAGGAACUGAGGAGUAUUAAAAUAAGACAUACAUUUCUUGCAUGCAAACAGUACAAAGCAGAGAAAUGGAUCGGCCUGUUUUCUGAAAAAGGGAGUCAUCAAUAAUAAUCUGAGAUUUUAAAACAUAGUUUUGUCAUAUCUUUUUUGACUCUGUACUGCUUCAGCCACACAGGGGAUCAGUGUGCACAAACGCUUAUGCUGUAUGGGAAUCAGCCUUAGAAUAAGCGUGGAUGAGAAUAAAAAAAUAUACUUAAAGAAGACAUUGGUAUAGGAUCUCUCCCACCUUUUUCCCCUUGAGGAAAUAGCGAUGGCAGCUAUUCAGGUACCCCCCACACCUCUAGUCGUCUUUACUCAUUGAAGAAUCGUUAGACAACCGGUAACUGAGCAGUUAGCAUUACCCACUUGGGAUUUUGUGUUUGCAAUUUAGUUUUCAGUCUCAUUCCUGACUACUGCAGUGGUAUGGCCUUUAGACAACUAGACUUUCAAAAGUCAAAAGGCAGUAAGUCAGUCCCCUGGAAACAAUGCAGAAACAGAUUCAAAUCAUAAAUAAGGAAAUGCAUUGAGUACAUUAAACAGACAUAGAAAAAUGGAUUUCUGUCUUUUGUAGUAAGGUAAUUGGGCACCACUGCUUGGCAGGAGCUGGUGCUGUCGAGCCAGCUAUAGCUGCCACAGGUUGAUAGGCAAGUGAUAAGGCAGCUUCCACCAGAGUCUGCACAGGAGGCCUACCUAAUAUGCUGUCUGCCCUAAGGGCCUAUGGGAACACAGUUGGAUUAUUAUGUUAAUGCAUGAGCCUGCUGCCCUCUUCCUAUCCCAGCUGGGUUCCCUGUUGUUAGGAACUGUUUUGCACUGACAGUGGAGUAAUAUGCUUCAUGAUUGAAAGGGCAAAAGGGCUUGGAAUACAAAAAAAAAGAACAGACCUGCACAGAUAUGUAAAUGAAGGAAGGAAAUCUGUAGGAAGAUUUCACUCUGAUUAUAGAGGAAAAGUUUAUUAGAAAGUUGUAAUGUAAAACUUCUCAUAGCACUCUGAAAAAUCAUUCAUUUCUUAAUUAAUUUCUGGGCUGGCUUUCUUUCCUAACACAGGUAUUCAGUGCAAGGAAGUGUUUUCCAAGACAGGCACUUAGACUGAUUUGUUUCAAAGUAACUUGUGUGAACACGUUGGUACCCAGGUAUAGUACUGAUAGCAGAGCAUUUUUUAGCACCUUCAUAACUUUUUUAUACCUUGCCCUCAGUUAUUCCACUGUGUUUUAUGUGAAAGUUAUUUUCUAUGAUGCUGAAGGACUUAUAUUUUGUAUUAAAAAAACACUUCAUUUCCCUUUUUUUUUUUUUGAUGAAGAUCUAGAAAAUUGCAUGGACCUAUCUUUUGGAAAAAAUGAAGAGUGGAGCGUUUUAUAAUAUUCUUUUUAAAGACUGCUUCGUAUUCUCAUAUGUGGAUGUGCAAUGAUUUAUUUCAGCCUUGGAUAUUUCCAACUUUUUUGUUAUAAAAAAUAAUGUUAUGGUGAAGAUCCUUUUAGGUAAGUCUUUUCUUGGAUCCAUUUUAUUUUCUUAGGUAAAAUUUUAGAAGUGGAAUCGCUGGGUCAAGGAGUAUAUAUGGGCAUUUUUAAGGAUUUAAUACUUACUGCAACACUUCCAGCAAAGUUUAAAUCAGGGUUCGAACCGGUUUGUUCUGGUUUGAACCCUGCUGAGAAUUUGCCUUUCUACCCCAGAUAUACUGAAUCAGAAUCUACGUUUUAACAAAAUCCUCAGGUGAUUGUUCCAUAUAACUUCCUGGGAACUGGAAUGCAAAUUCUCAGCAGGGAACUUGUUGGAAGUGCAAAUUCUCAGCAGGGGUUCGAAGCCGCGGUUUAAAGGGCAUGAAUGUACUUUUCCCCUGAAUUCUCAUUAAUCAUAAACAUUAUAAUUUUUCAAAAUCUUAGCUCAUUGUAUAUUUUCUUCCCACACUACUUUUGUUUUCUACUGUCACCACAAGUUAAUCCAUGUUAUAAAGAUGAUCAGUCUACAUAAUAUUUUAUAGAAAUGUGUAUUUGAUAAAUAUUUUUAUUUCACACUCUAAAAUCUAGAGGACAACAUUUAAGAAGUUGCUCUGCUUCUUUAUUUUACUUUAACCAAGAGAAAUACACAUUGUAGUUGCUGAAUGUGUUGUUUAACUAGAUCUCUAUCCAUGUUAUAAAUGAUGCCUGUAGAAGGAUCUGGGGAAAAGAUCCUUAAGGUUUUUUUUUAAUCACAGUUCAGAUCUUGGAGAAUCUGAACUUAUAUAAGAAUGUUUGGGCUACUGUUAUUACACUGAAACCUUCUGAGAGUAUCUUCUCGUGUGUUUUUUUUUUUUUAAAGAAAGUCACUUAUAGAUAGAUAUAAAGUGUUUGACCAGAAGAAAGCCUCAGGUUGUCAGAGUUACUUAUACACCGUUGUUCAGCUGGGCCUCUUUAUUAAAUCAUUUCUUGGCAGUCCAUUAGUUGUGGUGCUAUAGCUAUUGCAUGGCCCACUAAGCUAAAAUACCUUCAAU
Molecule: long non-coding RNA, 4010 nt
Organism: Trichechus manatus latirostris (Florida manatee)
Lineage: Eukaryota; Metazoa; Chordata; Mammalia; Sirenia; Trichechidae
Exons: 2
Source: RefSeq, a predicted model, not a curated record